Molecule: ribosomal RNA, 497 nt
Filed under: uncultured bacterium
Lineage: Bacteria
Description: partial 16S ribosomal RNA
Rfam family: Bacterial small subunit ribosomal RNA
Source: RNAcentral
GACGAACGCUGGCGGCGUGCCUAAUACAUGCAAGUUGAGCGCAGAAACGUGGUACUUGUACCAACGAGGUUAGCAGCGGACGGGUGAGUAACACGUGGGGAAUCUACCUUUAAGCCUGGGACAACAUUGGGAAACGAAUGCUAAUACCGCAUAAAAACUUUAAACACAAGGUUUAAUAGUGAAAGAUGGAAUUGCUUUACCUAAAAGUGAGCUCCGGGUCGAUUAAGUAGGUGGGUAGGGUAAUGGCUUACAAAGCGAAGAAUGCUAACCCGACUUGAGGGGGUGAUCGGCCACUCGGGAACGAAGACACGCUCCAGACUCCUCGGGAAGGCAGCAGAAGGGAAUCUUCCGCAAUGGGCGAAGGCCUGACGGAGCAACGCCGCGUAGUGAAUGAAGGUCUUCGGUUCGUAAAACUCGGUUGUAAGGGAGGAACAAAGUUGUAGGGAACUAUGCACGUCGUGACGGUACCUAAUCAGAAAGCCACGGCUAACUACGUG